UAACGAAUCUUGGGCAAUGGGCGCAAGCCUGACCCAGCGACGCCGCGUGGAGGAUCAAGUCCUUCGGGAUGUAAACUCCUGUCAGGGGUUAGGUAAGUUCUGAACAACCCCAGAGGAAGUGGCGGCUAACUCUGUGCCAGCAGCCGCGGUAAGACAGAGGCCACAAGCGUUAGGCGGAAUCACUGGGCUUAAAGCGUGUGUAGGCGGACUUUUAAGUGCCUUGUGAAAUCCCCCGGCUCACCCCGGGGAACGGCUGGGCAUACUGGAAGUCUUGAGCCAUCUAGGGGUCGCUGGAACAGACGGUGGAGCGGUGAAAUGCGUAGAUAUCGUCUGGAACGCCAAAGGUGAAGACAGGCGACUGGGGGAUGCGCUGACGCUGAGACACGAAAGCCAGGGGAGCAAACGGGAUUAGAUACCCCGGUAGUCCUGGCCCUAACGAUGUCCACUAGAUCGUGGAAG
RNAcentral lists this ribosomal RNA (459 nucleotides) under uncultured bacterium. RNAcentral describes it as "bacterial SSU rRNA". It matches the Rfam family "Bacterial small subunit ribosomal RNA", at positions 355 to 829 of the family's 1533-position model. The record is from RNAcentral.